RNAcentral lists this ribosomal RNA (442 nucleotides) under Leprolochus birabeni. RNAcentral's name for it is "partial 16S ribosomal RNA". Lineage: Eukaryota; Metazoa; Arthropoda; Arachnida; Araneae; Zodariidae. The record is from RNAcentral.
UUCUAAAAGAUAUUAUUUUUAGUAAAAUCUGCUCAAUGAUUUUAUUUCAAUAGCCGCAGCUAUCUGUGCUAAGGUAGCAUAAUCAUUUGUUUCCUAAUUAGAAACUAGAAUGAAAGAUAUAACAUUUUAAAUAAUUCCUUAAUUAAUCAUUUAAAAUUUAUCUAAAACAUUAAAAGAUGUUUAUUUAUAAAAAAGACAACAAGACCCUAUUGAACUUCACUAAAGUUUAACUGGGGCAGUUUAUUAAUUAAAAUUUUAAUUCUUCAAUAACUAAUCAUAAUAAUCCAUUAAAAAUGAAAUAAUCAAGUUACCAUAGGGAUAACAGCAUAAUUAAAUCUUAAAGCUCUUAUUAAAAAUUUAGAUUAUGACCUCGAUGUUGAAUAAUAUCCUCUUAAACGCAACAAUUUAAAAAGGAAGUCUGUUCGACUUUUAAAAAAUUACA